GAGACGCCUCUCCAUUCCCCACCACAACCCCGCCUCCCCCAACCCAAGCAGAGAUUAGAGCUCUUUGUAUGUGCGGGCGGCCAUGGCCGGUAACGGGAGCCCAGUGCUGAGCCUGGAAGAUACGCUCGCCUCCUGCCCCGUGUGCAUGGAAUAUUUCAUAGAUGCCAGCUGCGGGCACAACAUCUGCCCGCGGGCCUGCAACCCAGACCCCCUGGAGGAGCCGGAGUGGAGCCCUUGCUGUCCUAGAUGCCAGAAGCCCGUCCUGCAUGUGUCAUGUGCCACAUACUGGGAUAUGUCAAAAGAGUGGCUGGCCUGUCUGAUAAAAGAGAGAGAAGAAACCAAAGCUGAUGAGGAGAUGCAAAGUGAGAAGCUGCUGAAACAGACGGAAGAUGAGAAACAGAGGAUCCUCUGCGAAUGGAAGGAUCUACGUGGGUUUCUGGAGAAGCAGGAGCAGGUGCUGCUGUCCCAGGUAGAAAAGCUGGACAGAGCCAUUGUCAAGAGAAGGGACAAGAGCAUCUCUGAGCUGUCCCAGGAGAUUUCUCUGCUAAGUGAGCUGCUCAAUCAGAGGGGAGGAGAGAACGGGCAGGAGCCACUGAGCCAGUCCAUACAGGGUGUGGGCAGCUCUGAGAACAGCAGGAAGAACAGGGUGCUGCAGAAGCCAGAGUCUGGGUUUGUGGAGCUGGAGAAGAGACUUGGGGAUUUCUCUCAGAGAAGUACCACCCUGCUGGAGCUGCUGCAGGGAUUCAAAGGUAAAUGGGAGAUUCAUGGUGGCAUCUCCUUUGGUUAGAGUAACGGUCAC
RNAcentral lists this long non-coding RNA (799 nucleotides) under Gopherus agassizii (Agassiz's desert tortoise). RNAcentral's name for it is "lncRNA (ENSGAGG00000002339.1)". Lineage: Eukaryota; Metazoa; Chordata; Testudines; Testudinidae. The record is from RNAcentral.